GAUGAACGCUGGCGGCGUGCCUAAUACAUGCAAGUCGAGCGAACGGACGAGAAGCUUGCUUUUCUGAUGUUAGCGGCGGACGGGUGAGUAACACGUGGAUAACCUACCUAUAAGACUGGGAUAACUUCGGGAAACCGGAGCUAAUACCGGAUAAUAUUUUGAACCGCAUGGUUCAAAAGUGAAAGACGGUCUUGCUGUCACUUAUAGAUGGAUCCGCGCUGCAUUAGCUAGUUGGUAAGGUAACGGCUUACCAAGGCAACGAUGCAUAGCCGACCUGAGAGGGUGAUCGGCCGCACUGGAACUGAGACACGGUCCAGACUCCUACGGGAGGCAGCAGUAGGGAAUCUUCCGCAAUGGGCGAAAGCCUGACGGAGCAACGCCGCGUGAGUGAUGAAGGUCUUCGGAUCGUAAAACUCUGUUAUUAGGGAAGAACAUAUGUGUAAGUAACUGUGCACAUCUUGACGGUACCUAAUCAGAAAGCCACGGCUAACUACGUA
Molecule: ribosomal RNA, 497 nt
Filed under: uncultured bacterium
Lineage: Bacteria
Description: partial 16S ribosomal RNA
Rfam family: Bacterial small subunit ribosomal RNA
Source: RNAcentral